Dama dama (fallow deer) is the source of this 1381-nucleotide long non-coding RNA. RefSeq lists it as uncharacterized. The transcript is spliced from 5 exons. The record is from RefSeq and is a predicted model, not a curated record. NCBI's taxonomy places the organism in Eukaryota, Metazoa, Chordata, Mammalia, Artiodactyla, Cervidae.
UUGGAGUCCAUGAGGUGAUUCUACUGCAUAUAAUUUUAAACCUACUCACUCUUCUAUGGCGUUCUUAUUCCUUAGCCAAGCAAGCCUGUUUGCCAUACCCUGAAAACACAACUAAGAAGACCCACAGGCCAAGGAGAGCUUCUCAAUUAUCCAGCAUCAGGCCAGAUACAAAGAUUUUUCUCUUAUUGGCCAGAGGACUCCUUUUUAAGCUUCUGAUUAGUCUUUGAGGCUCCAAUCUAGGAAGUACAAAGGGCAUGGUAGUCACUAAUAGUGGAAUCGAGAAAUAGGUAAUUCACGGUGGUUUUCUUUCCUCUCUCUAAAGGCAGGCCAUUGUAUGUUUUAUUUAAGGAUCUUGAGGAGAGGGCCAAAAUAACUAGGAAUAGUUCUUUCCACACAAACUUACUAAAAUUUUCAGGUUUGGUCAGAAAAUAGCCUUUCUAGGUAUUCCAAGUAGGAAAGGUUUUAGAUACAGGGAAUGAGACUUAAGAGGGCUCAGGGAAGCUUUGGCUUGAGUUCAUUAAGCCAAAAAGCACCUGAGUAGCUACAAAGCUAGUACAGAUGAUCUUAGUUUUCCUUGGCACCAAAGCAGGCAGUUUGCAGGAGCUCACCAGGACUCGGCAAACUUCAAGAAUCUUUGGAAACACCAGGAAAUCAGAUCUCAUAUCUGUACCCCUCAGUGGCAGAAUGUGACCUGGAAGCAAUUGGGAGAAACAGUUCUGGGAAAUGCAGACUUCUCCCCUGUGAUGCAAAGCAAAAUCUGGAGAGAGCGAGAGAUGACAUGGAAUUAAAACAGACAAUCUGGCAAAAUGAAGUCAAGGGCUGAUGGGUUGUAUUAAUUAGAAGCCCACAAGAAACUGGUAUUUGAGGAACGAUUUGAAGAACAUGAGAGAGUGAGCCAUGCAGACGUCUGGGGAAAGAGCUCUGUAAUCUGAAGCAGAUAAUUUUCUGAUGAAUUGGAUGUGUGGUGUAAGAAAAAGAGAGACGUCUAGGAUGACUUCUUAUUUGUUCUAAGCGACUGCAAAGAUGUGCUGGCAUCAACUGAGGCGUGGAAAGCAGUGCAUGGAGAAGGGCAUUUUUCGACAUGUCAGGUCAACAAAAGGCAAAAGAAGAAGAUGGACACAAAUUCAAGGAGAGAGCCCUCAGAAGAAUCUAAACUUGCCAAUAUUUUCAUCCAUGACCUGUAGCAUUCAGAACUGUGAGAAAAAAAUUUCUGUUAAGCCACCCAGUCUGUGGUGAUUGUUAUGGCAGCCCCAGCAAAUGAAUACAGCAUCCUAUAACUAAGAUGAAGAACAAGGCUGAAGGAAAUGACUUCUAUAAUGUCAGAGACAGCAUCCUUAGUGGCAUUCCUGAGUUGCUAAAGCAAAAUCAAGCCCAAGACUUA